GAUGAACGCUGGCGGCGUGCCUAAUACAUGCAAGUCGAGCGAACGGACGAGGAGCUUGCUUUUCUGAUGUUAGCGGCGGACGGGUGAGUAACACGUGGAUAACCUACCUAUAAGACUGGGAUAACUUCGGGAAACCGGAGCUAAUACCGGAUAAUAUUUUGAACCGCAUGGUUCAAAAGUGAAAGACGGUCUUGCUGUCACUUAUAGAUGGAUCCGCGCUGCAUUAGCUAGUUGGUAAGGUAACGGCUUACCAAGGCAACGAUGCAUAGCCGACCUGAGAGGGUGAUCGGCCACACUGGAACUGAGACACGGUCCAGACUCCUACGGGAGGCAGCAGUAGGGAAUCUUCCGCAAUGGGCGAAAGCCUGACGGAGCAACGCCGCGUGAGUGAUGAAGGUCUUCGGAUCGUAAAACUCUGUUAUUAGGGAAGAACAAAUGUGUAAGUAACUGUGCACGUCUUGACGGUACCUAAUCAGAAAGCCACGGCUAACUACGUG
This 497-nucleotide ribosomal RNA is filed under the name uncultured bacterium. RNAcentral's name for it is "partial 16S ribosomal RNA". It matches the Rfam family "Bacterial small subunit ribosomal RNA", at positions 28 to 507 of the family's 1533-position model. The record is from RNAcentral.